Desmophyllum pertusum is the source of this 73-nucleotide non-coding RNA. The record is from the annotation of a GenBank genome assembly. NCBI's taxonomy places the organism in Eukaryota, Metazoa, Cnidaria, Anthozoa, Scleractinia, Caryophylliidae.
AACGCGGUGGCCUAAUGGUUAGCGUGUUGGACUCCGGAUUGAGCAGUCCGGGUUCGAGCGCUGGCCGUGCUCA